AACGAACGCUGGCGGCAGGCCUAACACAUGCAAGUCGAACGCCGUAGCAAUACGGAGUGGCAGACGGGUGAGUAACACGUGGGAACGUACCUUUCGGUUCGGAAUAACUCAGGGAAACUUGAGCUAAUACCGGAUACGUGCGAGAGCAGAAAGAUUUAUCGCCGAAAGAUCGGCCCGCGUCCGAUUAGCUUGUUGGUGAGGUAAUGGCUCACCAAGGCGACGAUCGGUAGCUGGUCUGAGAGGAUGAUCAGCCACACUGGGACUGAGACACGGCCCAGACUCCUACGGGAGGCAGCAGUGGGGAAUAUUGGACAAUGGGCGAAAGCCUGAUCCAGCCAUGCCGCGUGAGUGAUGAAGGCCUUAGGGUUGUAAAGCUCUUUUGUCCGGGAAGAUAAUGACGGUACCGGAAGAAUAAGCCCGGCUAACUUCGUGCCAGCAG
This 439-nucleotide ribosomal RNA is filed under the name uncultured bacterium. RNAcentral's name for it is "bacterial SSU rRNA". It matches the Rfam family "Bacterial small subunit ribosomal RNA", at positions 29 to 514 of the family's 1533-position model. The record is from RNAcentral.